Molecule: long non-coding RNA, 657 nt
Organism: Patella vulgata (common limpet)
Lineage: Eukaryota; Metazoa; Mollusca; Gastropoda; Patellidae
Exons: 4
Source: RefSeq, a predicted model, not a curated record
UCAACGUAAUCGUUAGUGAUAGGUGUUGUUUCCUGAUUUGAUAUGUGAAAUCUACAGAUAGGUAAUUAUAUUGUUUAUCACUUGAUUUACUAUAAAUGUGGGCACAGAAUACAACAUAGAACAGUAUCCCCAUUGUAUACAAAUCUACAAUCAACAGGAUGUUUUCAUUAUUGGUAAUAACCCUGGCCAUGGUUCUGGCUCAAAAUACUGAAGCUCAGACGAAUAUGAUUUCGGCUGCGCAAUUAGCUUUGGCUCUUGACAUAGAGACAGACCUUGCAUUGGAGAUUAUAGCAGACUUUGAUGCUGACGGUGACGGUAUGUUGUCUGUUAAUGAACAAAAUGUUAGUUUUGUGGCAAUGGUUAACGCUAUAAAUGAGGCUCAGAGCAAUGGCAUAGAAGUUAAUCUUUUGGGAAUACAAGCAAUGAUUGAUCUUGAAAACCUCCUGAACCUAAACCUUAAUGGUGCUCUAAAUCUUGGUGGAUCUGGAGGUCUUAAUCUGGGUGGCAUGCUGGGUGGUGUUGGUGGAAUAACAGGUGGACUUACCGGGGGACUAACUGGUGGACUAACUGGUGGACUAACUAGUGGACUUCUAGGCAAGAAAUAAGCAUACGUAUAAAAUGAAUGAUACGUUAAUAAAAUAAUACGCAAAUUAUAAA